Molecule: ribosomal RNA, 429 nt
Filed under: Acidobacteriota bacterium
Lineage: Bacteria; Pseudomonadati; Acidobacteriota
Description: Acidobacteria bacterium partial 16S ribosomal RNA
Rfam family: Bacterial small subunit ribosomal RNA
Source: RNAcentral
UGGGGAAUUUUGGACAAUGGGGGAAACCCUGAUCCAGCCAUCCCGCGUGUGCGAUGAAGGCCUUCGGGUUGUAAAGCACUUUUGGCAGGAAAGAAACGUCAUGGGUUAAUACCCCGUGAAACUGACGGUACCUGCAGAAUAAGCACCGGCUAACUACGUGCCAGCAGCCGCGGUAAUACGUAGGGUGCAAGCGUUAAUCGGAAUUACUGGGCGUAAAGCGUGCGCAGGCGGUUCGGAAAGAAAGAUGUGAAAUCCCAGAGCUCAACUUUGGAACUGCAUUUUUAACUACCGGGCUAGAGUGUGUCAGAGGGAGGUGGAAUUCCGCGUGUAGCAGUGAAAUGCGUAGAUAUGCGGAGGAACACCGAUGGCGAAGGCAGCCUCCUGGGAUAACACUGGCGCUCAUGCACGAAAGCGUGGGGAGCAAACAGG